This 254-nucleotide ribosomal RNA is filed under the name uncultured bacterium. Its description in RNAcentral is "partial 16S ribosomal RNA". It matches the Rfam family "Bacterial small subunit ribosomal RNA", at positions 524 to 776 of the family's 1533-position model. The record is from RNAcentral.
GACGUAGGGCGCGAGCGUUGUCCGGAUUUAUUGGGCGUAAAGAGCUCGUAGGCGGCUUGUCGCGUCAACUGUGAAAACCCGUGGCUCAACCAUGUGGUCUGCAGUCGAUACGGGCUAGCUAGAGUGUGGUAGGGGAGAUCGGAAUUCCUGGUGUAGCGGUGAAAUGCGCAGAUAUCAGGAGGAACACCGGUGGCGAAGGCGGAUCUCUGGGCCAUUACUGACGCUGAGGAGCGAAAGCGUGGGGAGCGAACAGG